Molecule: ribosomal RNA, 509 nt
Filed under: uncultured Sphingobacteriales bacterium
Lineage: Bacteria; Pseudomonadati; Bacteroidota; Sphingobacteriia; Sphingobacteriales
Description: bacterial SSU rRNA
Rfam family: Bacterial small subunit ribosomal RNA
Source: RNAcentral
CGCCUUCGCCACGCCCGCUCAGAAACUUAAAGGAAGUUCGACGGGGCCGGCACAAGCGGAGGAGCAUGUGGUUUAAUUCGAUGAUACGCGAGGAACCUUACCUGGGCUCGAACGUAAGAUGACUGUAGGUGAAAGCUUACAUCUCUUCGGAGCAUUUUACGAGGUGCUGCAUGGUUGUCGUCAGCUCGUGCCGUGAGGUGUCGGGUUAAGUCCCAUAACGAGCGCAACCCCUACCUUUAGUUGCCAUCAGGUUAAGCUGGGGACUCUAAAGGAACUGCCUACGCAAGUAGUGAGGAAGGCGGGGAUGACGUCAAAUCAGCACGGCCCUUACGUCCAGGGCUACACACGUGCUACAAUGGCCGAUACAGAGGGCAGCUACCUGGUGACAGGGAUGCAAAUCUCCAAAGUCGGUCUCAGUUCGGAUCGGAGUCUGCAACCCGACUCCGUGAAGUUGGAUUCGCUAGUAAUCGCGCAUCAGCCAUGGCGCGGUGAAUACGUUCCCGGGCCUU